Molecule: long non-coding RNA, 670 nt
Filed under: Brassica napus (rape)
Lineage: Eukaryota; Viridiplantae; Streptophyta; Magnoliopsida; Brassicales; Brassicaceae
Description: long non-coding RNA (BNAP_LNC026914)
Source: RNAcentral
ACCCCUCCACAAGGCCCAUCGAAUAACAGGCCCUAAUCCAGCAAGUCGGAUCGGUUUGGUUGGCUCGGCGGCCAAACGUAUCGGCUCGACCUUAGAGUACUUUUAGCCGUUCGAGUAAGCCGACCAAAAGUACCCGGCUUGGAGGGAACCUUGUCCAGGCCCGCAUACUCGGCCUCUCGCAUCAAGGCCCAAAGAGGUACGAAAUUAGGGCAUCAAGGCCCAAAGAAGUACGAAAUUAGGGCAUCAAGGGCAGGAGUCCUAUAAAAGGGGAAGGGGAAGCAACAAGAGGAUGACUUUUGGACCAUUGAACAGACCGAGUGGCUAGAUCUAGGGUUUGAGGCGAUCUCUUUGAUCUUGUUGCUCUUUGAUCUUGUUGCUCUUUCACUUUCCUGUCACUCUUGUAACCCUUCAGUUCAAAUCUAAUAAAACAUCUUUAGUCAUCCCAUCUCUGACUUCUUUCAUUUUAGUCGACUGAAUCCCGUUCAAACACAUGUGGAGAGCAGUCCUAACGUCAAACCUUUCCACACUUCUUCCGAUACCUUGCAUUGGAAGAAAAGAUGGUCUCUGGUUUCCAAAUAACAUCACAUAGUCCACAAAAAGCUUUGCAACUGUGAGUUCCAUCCUUUGGUAAUAUUAUACCGUUUGAUGUUUUCUACGGGAUAUAUGCUGC